GAUGAACGCUAGCUACAGGCUUAACACAUGCAAGUCGAGGGGUAACGAGAGGAAAGCUUGCUUUCCUUGUCGACGACCGGCGCACGGGUGAGUAACGCGUAUCCAACCUGCCCCCAACUAAGGAAUAACCUUGCGAAAGUAAGACUAAUACCUUAUAAUUUCCUCAGAUGUCAUCUGACGAGGAAUAAAGAUUUAUCGGUUGUGGAUGGGGAUGCGUCUGAUUAGCUUGUUUGCGGGGUAACGGCCCACCAAGGCAACGAUCAGUAGGGGUUCUGAAAGGAAGGUCCCCCACAUUGGAACUGAGACACGGUCCAAACUCCUACGGGAGGCAGCAGUGAGGAAUAUCGGUCAAUGGGCGAAAGCCUGAACCAGCCAAGUAGCGUGCAGGCUGACGGCCCUAUGGGUUGUAAACUGCUUUUAUACAGGAAUAAAGUUGGCCACGUGUGGUUAUUUGUAGGUACUGUAUGAAUAAGGACCGGCUAAUUCCGUGCCAGCCGCCGCGGUAA
This 506-nucleotide ribosomal RNA is filed under the name uncultured bacterium. RNAcentral's name for it is "partial 16S ribosomal RNA". It matches the Rfam family "Bacterial small subunit ribosomal RNA", at positions 28 to 523 of the family's 1533-position model. The record is from RNAcentral.